Molecule: ribosomal RNA, 253 nt
Filed under: uncultured bacterium
Lineage: Bacteria
Description: partial 16S ribosomal RNA
Rfam family: Bacterial small subunit ribosomal RNA
Source: RNAcentral
UACGUAGGGUGCAAGCGUUAUCCGGAAUUAUUGGGCGUAAAGAGCUCGUAGGCGGUCUGUCACGUCGGCUGUGAAAUCCCGAGGCUCAACCUCGGGUCUGCAGUCGAUACGGGCAAACUAGAGUACUGCAGGGGAGACUGGAAUUCCUGGUGUAGCGGUGAAAUGCGCAGAUAUCAGGAGGAACACCGGUGGCGAAGGCGGGUCUCUGGGCAGUAACUGACGCUGAGGAGCGAAAGCGUGGGGAGCGAACAGG